GGUGGUAUAGUGGUUAAGGGCUUGGCUGCCAACCAAAAAGUCGACAGUUUGAAUCUGUCAGCCACCC
RNAcentral lists this transfer RNA (67 nucleotides) under Loxodonta africana (African savanna elephant). It matches the Rfam family "tRNA". Rfam says of the family: Transfer RNA (tRNA) molecules are approximately 80 nucleotides in length. Their secondary structure includes four short double-helical elements and three loops (D, anti-codon, and T loops). Lineage: Eukaryota; Metazoa; Chordata; Mammalia; Proboscidea; Elephantidae. The record is from Rfam by way of RNAcentral.